UAGAGUUUGAUCCUGGCUCAGGACGAACGCUGGCGGCGUGCCUAAUACAUGCAAGUCGAGCGAACCACUUCGGUGGUUAGCGGCGGACGGGUGAGUAACACGUGGGCAACCUGCCUGUAAGACUGGGAUAACACCGGGAAACCGGUGCUAAUACCGGAUAAUCCUUUUCCUCUCAUGAGGGGAAGCUGAAAGUCGGUUUCGGCUGACACUUACAGAUGGGCCCGCGGCGCAUUAGCUAGUUGGUGAGGUAACGGCUCACCAAGGCGACGAUGCGUAGCCGACCUGAGAGGGUGAUCGGCCACACUGGGACUGAGACACGACCCAGACUCCUACGGGAGGCAGCAGUAGGGAAUCUUCCACAAUGGACGAAAGUCUGAUGGAGCAACGCCGCGUGAGCGAUGAAGGCCUUCGGGUCGUAAAGCUCUGUUGUUAGGGAAGAACAAGUACCGGAGUAACUGCCGGUACCUUGACGGUACCUAACCAGAAAGCCACGGCUAACUACGUGCCAGCAGCCGCGGUAAUA
RNAcentral lists this ribosomal RNA (523 nucleotides) under uncultured bacterium. RNAcentral's name for it is "bacterial SSU rRNA". It matches the Rfam family "Bacterial small subunit ribosomal RNA", at positions 1 to 525 of the family's 1533-position model. The record is from RNAcentral.